GGUGGUAUAGCCAAGCGGUAAGGCAAGGGAUUGCAAAUCCUUUAUUCCCCAGUUCGAAUCUGGGUACCACCU
RNAcentral lists this transfer RNA (72 nucleotides) under Ulva intestinalis (hollow green seaweed). Its description in RNAcentral is "tRNA-Cys". It matches the Rfam family "tRNA". From Rfam's summary of the family: Transfer RNA (tRNA) molecules are approximately 80 nucleotides in length. Their secondary structure includes four short double-helical elements and three loops (D, anti-codon, and T loops). Lineage: Eukaryota; Viridiplantae; Chlorophyta; Ulvophyceae; Ulvales; Ulvaceae. RNAcentral also lists the same sequence under 17 other names. The record is from RNAcentral.